UGGCUAAGGUGUCUCGGCUAAUGUGUCUUGGCUAAGGUGUCUUGGCUAAUGUGUCUUGGCUAAUGUGUCUUGGCUAAUGUGUCUUUGCUAAGGUGUCUUGGCUAAUGUGUCUUGGCUAAGGUGUCUUGGCUAAGGUGUCUUGGCUAAGGUGUCUUGGCUAAGGUGUCUUGGCUAAGGUGUCUUGGCUAAUGUGUCUUGGCUAAUGUGUCUUGGCUAAGGUGUCUUGGCUAAGGUGUCUUGGCUAAGGUGUCUUGGCUAAGGUGUCUUGGCUAAGGUGUCUUGGCUAAUGUGUCUUGGCUAAGGUGUCUCGGCUAAUGUGUCUUGGCUAAUGUGUCUUGGCUAAGGUGUCUCGGCUAAUGUGUCUUGGCUAAGGUGUCUUGGCUAAGGUGUCUUGGCUAAGGUGUCUUGGCUAAGGUGUCUUGGCUAAUGUGUCUUGGCUAAGGUGUCUCGGCUAAUGUGUCUUGGCUAAUGUGUCUUGGCUAAGGUGUCUUGGCUAAGGUGUCUUGGCUAAGGUGUCUUGGCUAAUGUGUCUUGGCUAAGGUGUCUCGGCUAGUGUGUCUUGGCUAAUGUGUCUUGGCUAAGGUGUCUUGGCUAAGGUGUCUUGGCUAAUGUGUCUUGGCUAAUGUGUCUUGGCUAAGGUGUCUUGGCUAAUGUGUCUUGGCUAAUGUGUCUUGGCUAAGGUGUCUUGGCUAAUGUGUCUUGUCUAAGGUGUCUUGGCUAAGGUGUCUUGGCUAAUGUGUCUUGGCUAAGGUGUCUUGGCUAAUGUGUCUUGGCUAAUGUGUCUCGGCUAAUGUGUCUUGGCUAAGGUGUCUUGGCUAAGGUGUCUUGGCUAAUGUGUCUUGGCUAAGGUGUCUUGGCUAAGGUGUCUUGGCUAAGGUGUCUCGGCUAAUGUGUCUUGGCUAAGGUGUCUUGGCUAAUGUGUCUUGGCUAAUGUGUCUUGGCUAAUGUGUCUUUGCUAAGGUGUCUUGGCUAAUGUGUCUUGGCUAAGGUGUCUUGGCUAAGGUGUCUUGGCUAAUGUGUCUUGGCUAAUGUGUCUUGGCUAAUGUGUCUUGGCUAAGGUGUCUUGGCUAAUGUGUCUUGGCUAAUGUGUCUUGGCUAAGGUGUCUUGGCUAAGGUGUCUUGGCUAAUGUGUCUUGGCUAAUGUGUCUUGGCUAAGGUGUCUUGGCUAAGGUGUCUUGGCUAAGGUGUCUUUGCUAAGGUGUCUUGGCUAAUGUGUCUUGGCUAAGGUGUCUUGGCUAAGGUGUCUUGGCUAAUGUGUCUUGGCUAAUGUGUCUUGGCUAAUGUGUCUUGGCUAAGGUGUCUUGGCUAAUGUGUCUUGGCUAAUGUGUCUCGGCUAAUGUGUCUCGGCUAAUGUGUCUUGGCUAAGGUGUCUUGGCUAAUGUGUCUUGGCUAAUGUGUCUUGGCUAAGGUGUCUUGGCUAAGGUGUCUUGGCUAAUGUGUCUUGGCUAAUGUGUCUUGGCUAAUGUGUCUUGGCUAAUGUGUCUUGGCUAAGGUGUCUUGGCUAAUGUGUCUUGGCUAAUGUGUCUCGGCUAAUGUGUCUCGGCUAAUGUGUCUUGGCUAAGGUGUCUUGGCUAAUGUGUCUUGGCUAAUGUGUCUUGGCUAAUGUGUCUUGGCUAAGGUGUCUUGGCUAAUGUGUCUUGGCUAAAGUGUCUUGGCUAAGGUGUCUUGGCUAAGGUGUCUCGGCUAAUGUGUCUUGGCUAAGGUGUCUUGGCUAAUGUGUCUUGGCUAAGGUGUCUUGGCUAAGGUGUCUUGGCUAAUGUGUCUUGGCUAAGGUGUCAUGGCUAAGGUGUCUUGGCUAAUGUGUCUUGGCUAAGGUGUCUUGGCUAAUGUGUCUUGGCUAAUGUGUCUUGGCUAAGGUGUCUUGGCUAAGGUGUCUUGGCUAAUGUGUCUUGGCUAAUGUGUCUUGGCUAAUGUGUCUUGGCUAAUGUGUCUUGGCUAAGGUGUCUUGGCUAAGGUGUCUUGGCUAAUGUGUCUUGGCUAAUGUGUCUUGGCUAAGGUGUCUUGGCUAAUGUGUCUUGGCUAAAGUGUCUUGGCUAAGGUGUCUUGGCUAAGGUGUCUCGGCUAAUGUGUCUUGGCUAAGGUGUCUUGGCUAAUGUGUCUUGGCUAAGGUGUCUUGGCUAAGGUGUCUUGGCUAAUGUGUCUUGGCUAAGGUGUCAUGGCUAAGGUG
Molecule: long non-coding RNA, 2167 nt
Organism: Anopheles funestus (African malaria mosquito)
Lineage: Eukaryota; Metazoa; Arthropoda; Insecta; Diptera; Culicidae
Exons: 3
Source: RefSeq, a predicted model, not a curated record